This 345-nucleotide ribosomal RNA is filed under the name uncultured fungus. RNAcentral describes it as "eukaryotic LSU rRNA". The stretch from base 1 to 125 matches the Rfam family "5.8S ribosomal RNA", at positions 30 to 154 of the family's 154-position model. Lineage: Eukaryota; Fungi. The record is from RNAcentral.
GCAUCGAUGAAGAACGCAGCGAAAUGCGAUAAGUAAUGUGAAUUGCAGAAUUCAGUGAAUCAUCGAAUCUUUGAACGCACAUUGCGCCCUUUGGCAUUCCGAAGGGCAUGCCUGUUCGAGCGUCAUUACACCAAUCAAGCCUCGCUUGGUAUUGGGCGACGGGGUCGACUUUCGACGCCCGCGCCUUAAUAACUUUCCGGCGGGACGGACCGUAUCUCAGCGUUGUGGUAAAAAGCCGCUGGCGAGACGGGACGGCCGUGCCGUAACCCCCCCCCAUUUUCUUAAGGUUGACCUCGGAUCAGGUAGGGAUACCCGCUGAACUUAAGCAUAUCAAUAAGCGGAGGA